UUGGCGAGACACAGAGGGAAGAGAAGUUGAUGGUGGCGCGGAGAUCCAGAGUCUGGGUCAAAGAAGCAUGAACAUGGAAAGGGGGUCCCAGGAAGGAUAACUUCAGAGAGCAGACAGAGUUGGGAGAGGCCAUGGAGGAGAGCACAGAUUGCUCAGGCAUAGGGUGUAGCGUGAAACCCGGGAAAAUGGAGCAGAGAAAACAGCCUGGAGACUCCUGGGCAGAUCUCAGGACAUGGGUCCUACCCACAGAGGCCUGGGCCAGGCGCCCUCACCAUGAGAACAUCGGUCUAGCCCGUCACUGUCCCUCAGCCAGGAUGACACUUUCUCUCGAGGUCCAACCCCAG
Mus musculus (house mouse) is the source of this 344-nucleotide long non-coding RNA. RefSeq annotates it as predicted gene, 51917. The record is from RefSeq and is a predicted model, not a curated record. The transcript has 3 exons. NCBI's taxonomy places the organism in Eukaryota, Metazoa, Chordata, Mammalia, Rodentia, Muridae.